RNAcentral lists this ribosomal RNA (263 nucleotides) under uncultured bacterium. RNAcentral's name for it is "partial 16S ribosomal RNA". It matches the Rfam family "Bacterial small subunit ribosomal RNA", at positions 524 to 786 of the family's 1533-position model. The record is from RNAcentral.
UACGUAGGGGGCAAGCGUUAUCCGGAUUUAUUGGGCGUAAAGAGCGCGUAGGCGGUCUGUUAAGCGAGAUGUGAAAACCGGGGGCUCAACCCGCGGCCUGCAUCUCGAACUGGCAGACUUGAGUCUGGUAGAGGAAAGUGGAAUUCCUGGUGUAGCGGUGAAAUGCGCAGAUAUCAGGAGGAACACCAGUGGCGAAGGCGGCUUUCUGGGCCACGACUGACGCUGAGGCGCGAAAGCUAGGGGAGCGAACAGGAUUAGAUACC